UACGUAGGGGGCAAGCGUUAUCCGGAAUUAUUGGGCGUAAAGAGUGCGUAGGUGGUUUGGUAAGCGCAUAGGUGAAAGGCUACAGCUCAACUGUAGUAAGCCUUGCGAACUGUCAAACUUGAGUGCAGGAGAGGAGAGCGGAAUUCCUAGUGUAGCGGUGAAAUGCGUAGAUAUUAGGAGGAACACCAGUGGCGAAGGCGGCUCUCUGGACUGUAACUGACACUGAGGCACGAAAGCGUGGGGAG
RNAcentral lists this ribosomal RNA (245 nucleotides) under uncultured bacterium. RNAcentral's name for it is "partial 16S ribosomal RNA". It matches the Rfam family "Bacterial small subunit ribosomal RNA", at positions 524 to 768 of the family's 1533-position model. The record is from RNAcentral.